GAUGAACGCUGGCGGCGUGCCUAAUACAUGCAAGUCGAGCGAACGGACGAGAAGCUUGCUUUUCUGAUGUUAGCGGCGGACGGGUGAGUAACACGUGGAUAACCUACCUAUAAGACUGGGAUAACUUCGGGAAACCGGAGCUAAUACCGGAUAAUAUUUUGAACCGCAUGGUUCAAAAGUGAAGGACGGUCUUGCUGUCACUUAUAGAUGGAUCCGGGCUGCAUGAGCUAGUUGGUAAGGUAACGGCUUACCAAGGCAACGAUGCAUAGCCGACCUGAGAGGGUGAUCGGCCACACUGGAACUGAGACACGGUCCAGAGUCCUACGGGAGGCAGCAGUAGGGAAUCUUCCGCAAUGGGCGAAAGCCUGACGGAGCAACGCCGCGUGAGUGAUGAAGGUCUUCGGAUCGUAAAACUCUGUUAUUAGGGAAGAACAUAUGUGUAAGUAACUGUGCACAGCUUGACGGUACCUAAUCAGAAAGCCACGGCUAACUACGUG
Molecule: ribosomal RNA, 497 nt
Filed under: uncultured bacterium
Lineage: Bacteria
Description: partial 16S ribosomal RNA
Rfam family: Bacterial small subunit ribosomal RNA
Source: RNAcentral